RNAcentral lists this ribosomal RNA (497 nucleotides) under uncultured bacterium. RNAcentral's name for it is "bacterial SSU rRNA". It matches the Rfam family "Bacterial small subunit ribosomal RNA", at positions 8 to 518 of the family's 1533-position model. The record is from RNAcentral.
AGAGUUGAUCAUGGCUCAGAACGAACGCUGGUGGCGUGUCUUAUACAUGCAAGUCGAGCGAGGCAGCAAUGCCGAGCGGCGAACGGGUGAGUAACGCGUAAGCAAUCUGCCCCAUAUCAGGAAAUACCCGUGCCAACGCGCGGUUAAUGUCCAGGAGAGUGGCCCUCCGCAUGGAGGGCUGACUAGAGAUUCAUCGGUAUGGGAUGAGCUUGCGUCCGAUUAGCUAGUUGGCGGGGCAACGGCCCACCAAGGCGACGAUCGGUAGCCGGCCUGAGAGGGUGAUCGGCCACAUUGGGACUGAGAUACGGCCCAGACUCCUACGGGAGGCAGCAGUAGGGAAUAUUGCACAAUGGGGGAAACCCUGAUGCAGCAACGCCACGUGUGGGAAGAAGCAUUUCGGUGUGUAAACCACUGUCAUGAGGGAAUAAGGCCCGCCUUCGGACGGGAUUGAAUGUACCUUGAGAGGAAGCACCGGCAAACUUCGUGCCAGCCGCGGC